UGUAUAGAAGUCCGGAUGAUC
RNAcentral lists this non-coding RNA (21 nucleotides) under Caenorhabditis elegans. Lineage: Eukaryota; Metazoa; Nematoda; Chromadorea; Rhabditida; Rhabditidae. The record is from RNAcentral.